CCCACAAUCCCCGGCACCCGCACUGCAACUAUUCCCUGCCCGGUUCUUCCCCAGGCGACAGCCCGCCGAUGCCUCUCAUCCCCGCACUCGUCGGCAACCCCUGCCCCACAAGGUCCUCGGCGCCCCAUAGCCACCUCGCUCGCACCUCCCUGCCCUAUCUCUGGCCCCGCAACUGAUCCUCUGCUGCCCCACGUAGGCCGCGGCCCCCGCCGAUCCUCUUCUGCCGGACACGAGAGCAGGCCGCAGCCCCAGCCGUUCCUCCUCUGCUACUUCAGGUACGCCAGCGCCGAACAGACAGCACGGCCGCCGCUGCCGCCCGCCGCUCCUCAUCGUCUGCACCCAUGAAGUUGCUGCAAUUAAGGUGUCACUCCAGUAGGAGGGGCGCUAAGGAAGGCGCAUCAGGCACGUUGUUGCGGCGGCCGUGAAGGCCGGAGAAGAGGUGGAUGGGUUUCUCACAGUUUCUGUGGCUCGCGGUGUUCAUCCGACUCUCUAGAAUAACUAGAAGAUGAGUUCCCACAAUUUCUACAUCAAAGGUUGUAUCUUUCAGCACUUUGUUAUUGGGCGUGCCUACUUACUAAUUCUAUUUGAUAAGUCAACCUGGGAAACUGCGGAAUGGUGCUGAAUGAAGUUGUUAAUAUGAUUUCUUUUGUGUUUGCUACUGAUAUAUCUCUAAACUUGCAUUUCUCUGCUAUGUUUGUCUGUCAGAGCUGUUGCUGGAUAAGGCUGACGUGCACCAAUGUAAACUUCAGAUUGAGCUUACAACACGGAUUGUUCCCUCCAGCUGUUCGAUUUGCACAUGCGACAAUCGAAGUGUGCCUAUGUUUGGCUGCCCCGUUCACAGAUAUACAGGUUGAAUUCUUCGUUCUUUAUUAUAGGCCGGUUCAUGUGCUUUGACUUGUGAUCUGGGUCGGCGCAUCUAUUAUUUUCGGUCGCAAAUGUGCGCUAGCUCAUGCCUCUCUUGGGUGAUAUAAUCUUUUUGGGGUUUCUCAUAAACUGCAGUGUAUGUAUUAUGCAGAUGAACAAAAACCAUUCAGGUUCCGCAUCCACCCAUCAGGUUCUCUAUUAUACUGCAGGAGGAAAUCCUUUCUUAUUGACCCUUCAAGCGGUAGUCUUUUAGAGGCAGCUUUUGUGCUUUUCCCUUCCGCUGGAACUGCAUGCAGAGUUUGAGUUCAUGGAGUGCCUUUGGCCUUCAGAAAGAAGAAGAAUAAAUGUUUCGUCGUUGAUCUUUCUUAUGUUCCUAGGUGCAUUGUUUUAGGUUAUGCCCUCAUAUGCAGAGAUGGAAAAUCACACAUUUUGCAUCCAGCUUUCAAUGGGAAUAAAUUGAAUUUUGUUUUGAAGCUUGCCGAUGAAUCAAGAAUAUAUCUCUGAAAGCUGCUUCUUUUUUGCAAAAAAAAGAAGAAGCUGAUUUAAGCAUCAUUGCAAUUCAAAACCUACACAGUAUUUAUUUCUGCAUUUAUUUGAAGAUGAGAAUAUACUGACUUCAAUAUCGAGUGUCGAUCCAUUGUUUUCUGCAGGUAAGUAUUAUUUUUUAUUUCCUAAAAAGGAUUUGAAUAUCAUUUU
Aegilops tauschii subsp. strangulata is the source of this 1560-nucleotide non-coding RNA. The record is from RefSeq and is a predicted model, not a curated record. NCBI's taxonomy places the organism in Eukaryota, Viridiplantae, Streptophyta, Magnoliopsida, Poales, Poaceae.